RNAcentral lists this transfer RNA (73 nucleotides) under Caldalkalibacillus thermarum TA2.A1. It matches the Rfam family "tRNA". Rfam says of the family: Transfer RNA (tRNA) molecules are approximately 80 nucleotides in length. Their secondary structure includes four short double-helical elements and three loops (D, anti-codon, and T loops). Further hydrogen bonds mediate the characteristic L-shaped molecular structure. tRNAs have two regions of fundamental functional importance: the anti-codon, which is responsible for specific mRNA codon recognition, and the 3' end, to which the tRNAs corresponding amino acid is attached (by aminoacyl-tRNA synthetases). tRNAs cope with the degeneracy of the genetic code in two manners: having more than one tRNA (with a specific anti-codon) for a particular amino acid; and 'wobble' base-pairing, i.e. permitting non-standard base-pairing at the 3rd anti-codon position. The record is from Rfam by way of RNAcentral. Lineage: Bacteria; Bacillati; Bacillota; Bacilli; Caryophanales; Bacillaceae.
GAGCCCGUAGCUCAACGGGAUAGAGCAGCGGCCUCCUAAGCCGUCGAUGCAGGUUCGAGUCCUGCCGGGCUCA